Molecule: non-coding RNA, 2024 nt
Organism: Solanum lycopersicum (tomato)
Lineage: Eukaryota; Viridiplantae; Streptophyta; Magnoliopsida; Solanales; Solanaceae
Source: RefSeq, a predicted model, not a curated record
CAAUAGCGUUAUCUUCUUCAAUAAUAUCUCAGCCCUUCGUUUUUCCCUCCAUGAACAGCGCUUGCAAUAACCCCCUUCUCUCUUCUUCCUUCCUUCACCAACCUCUCAAAUCUUCAAGAUUCCCAAAUGUAUCCAUUUUCUUCCCCAUUAUUUCAAACCCCAUUACCCCAAAUCGCUGUAUUCCCAUAAAAACAACCAUUAAGGGAUCUAUGGAGUCCAGGAAUCCCACAAAGGGAAGAAGCACUAGUCCAAGAAAAUUCAAACCCAGAUAUGGAACUUCAAGAAGAUCAACUAUCAAGAAAAGUCUUAGUCAAGAACAAGUUAAUUUUACUAAACCCAUCCCUGAUGACCCUGUAGUUGGGAUUAUUGGUGGUGGAAUGUCUGGCCUUACUUGUGCUCUUUAUUUGGAGAAAAGAGGCAUUCGUUCAACCGUUUUCGACACGGGAAUACAUGGGUUGGGAGGAAGAAUGGGAACAAGAAUGAUUGAUCAUCAGCCUUUGAUAUUUGACCAUGCAGCUCAGUUCUUCACAGUGACAAACCCCAAGUUUGCUGAGCUAGUUGAUGACUGGUUGAAGAGAGGUCUGGUUCGUGAAUGGAAGGGUACAAUUGGUGAGCUUGAAGUUGGUGGGAAUUUUGUCCCAUUUCCUUCUUCACCUCCUAAAUAUAUAGGGGUCAACGGUAUGCGCCCACUUGCGGAUUCAUUACUAUCUCAGACUUCUUUGGUCAAUGUGGUACGACCUUGUUGGGUAAGCGCACUUGAACCAUUUAAUGGGACGUGGCACUUGAGUGAGAAGGGGAAGCCUUGUGGGCAGUUUGAUGCAAUUGUCAUUGCACAUAAUGGUAAAUGUGCCAAUAGAUUGCUUGCAGCAUCAGGCUUACCCCUCAUUGCAAAACAAAUGAAGAGACUUGAACUUAGUUCUAUAUGGGCUCUUCUUGCUGCAUUUGAGGAUCCUCUGCCAACUGCACUAAAUGCAGCGUCCCUUCCCUUUGAAGGGGCUUUUGUAAAAGGGGUUGAAUCUGUCUCAUGGAUGGCAAACAACACUAAGAAACUCUUAGCUUCAGAUAGUGGUCCACAAUGUUGGACAUUUUUCAGCACUGCAACCUUUGGAAAGCAGAACAAAGUCCCCCAGGAAAGUAUUCCAAAUGCUACAGGAGAGAAAGUGAAGGAAGCUAUGCUUGAGGGUGUUGAGAAGGCUCUAGGACUAUCAAAAAGCUCACUCCAAAAGCCAUUUUAUACAAAAUUACAACUAUGGGGUGCAGCUCUUCCAACCAACACUCCUGGAAUUCCAUGCAUCUUUGAUCCUCGUGGAAGGGCUGGUAUAUGUGGUGAUUGGCUACUUGGAUCAAGUUUAGAAGCUGCAGCUUUAAGUGGCAUAGCUCUUGCUGAUCAAAUUGCAGAUUACUUCGAACAAGGUGGUCCUUGCUCAGAUGAGUUUGCUGUUGGUUUGCACGAUGAAUAUAAGCCACUUGAAGGACAUGAUAUAGGGCAGUUUCCAGGACUGGAUACUGUUGAUCAAAUUACAAAUGUCCCAGCUUUGACACUCGCUACAUGAACUGAUCCUGUGACGAAGUCUUCUGAUGAUUUGUUGGUUAAAGCAAGCGAAAACAAAUUAAGACACACUAUCGGAACAAGCAGUUUGCAAUACUGGUUAUAGACAUAUACUUGAGCUUGAAUCAUUUUGCUAGCAGCUCAUGCGAAGGUUCAGCUAAAUAUCUGAUAAUCGAAACUCAAGUUGGAUUUCUCGAACCUUCAACUUUGGGUUGGAGAGAAAAGUACUCAAAAGUCAGAAAUCGAGCCUCGAUUUCAUUAGAAUCUCAGAUGGUGAGCAAGUCUUAUAAAACCUUGAGUGACGAAUUCUACAAUUUCAGAAAGAAAAACUUUGUAGUUUGAAUAUGCAACUGUAGAUGUAUAAGAACUAUUAGUACAUAUAGGGGUGGCAAUUUCGGCUUAUAUAAGUGAAACGAAACCAUUUUGCCCAUGUUAAACUAAAUGGAACACUCGUAUUUUAUUUCAUCUUAUUAAA